UACGUAGGGUGCGAGCGUUAAUCGGAAUUACUGGGCGUAAAGCGUGCGCAGGCGGUUUUGUAAGACAGAUGUGAAAUCCCCGGGCUUAACCUGGGAACUGCAUUUGUGACUGCAAGACUAGAGUGCGGCAGAGGGGGGUAGAAUUCCGCAUGUAGCGGUGAAAUGCGUAGAUAUGCGGAGGAACAUCAGUGGCGAAGGCGGCUACCUGGACCAAGACUGACACUGAGGCACGAAAGCGUGGGGAUCAAACAGG
Molecule: ribosomal RNA, 253 nt
Filed under: uncultured bacterium
Lineage: Bacteria
Description: partial 16S ribosomal RNA
Rfam family: Bacterial small subunit ribosomal RNA
Source: RNAcentral